AAUCACCUCCACAGCCGCCAUUUCACCUCUACGUCUUCAAUCUUCCCCAGUCUCUGCGUUGGACCUCCCUCAUUGUUUACUCAUUGAUCGAUUAUGUGUUGAUUAGGAAUUCAAUCUUAUGUGAUAUGGGAGUCAAGACCUAUAACCUUGCACCGAAUCAAAACAUAUGGUUUGUCAUUUACAGAUUGAGCCAAUCCCAAGUGGAAAUCUGCCUCCUGGGUUAAUCCAAAUACAUGCCGCAGUAUGUGCGUGGGGAGCAUUCAUAUACAAGUGACGGAACCACUUCUUCAAGAGGUUUUUGCAAGUAUUGGUCCUGUUGAAGGCUGCACACUCAUAAGAAAAGAGAAGUCGUCUUAUGAAUUCAUUCACUACUUUGAUCGUAGAUCCGUUGCACUUGCUAUAUUAUCUCUAAAUGGGAAGCGUUUGUUUGGUCAACCUAUUAAAGUCAACUGGGCAUAUGCCAGUGGGCUGAGAGAGGACACAUGAGGAUUUUAGGGUUCUUAGCUCAUGCUCCAGUAUAUCGACAAAAAUUUUGUUCAACAUAGGUCAGUUAAGUUGUCGUACGCAUCGUGUCACACUUUACACAUAUCGUAGGUGGUUGCAGGAUUCAUGAUGGUUGAAGCUCUGAAAAACGGUUAUGUUGUUGCUAUUCCAUUAGCUAACCAACUGCUUCAAAUAUUUAACCUCAUGCUCCAGUAUUAAUUAUGAUGAUGUCAAAUGUUUGCAUCAAUCUUAUUAUUGUGAUAAUACAACUUUAUUAGUUACAAAAUUCCAUUUUAUGCUACAUUAAUCAAUCAAUAAGUUUUUGGUAUUUUUUUUACAGGUUAUAGCAUCAAUUGCCUAUUUGAUGGAGUUUCAAAGCAAUUAUGGUCUACAUGUUACCAUUGUUGCGAGUGAUUGGAAGAUUUAUUAUUUUGUUGAAUUUCAUUGUGUUUUGAUGAACUAUAUUUUUUUUAAUUGUAAGUGUUAACUUUUUGUUAACAGUGAGUUACAAAAUUGGUUGCCAAAUGU
This 1011-nucleotide long non-coding RNA is filed under the name Helianthus annuus (common sunflower). RNAcentral's name for it is "hypothetical non coding rna". Lineage: Eukaryota; Viridiplantae; Streptophyta; Magnoliopsida; Asterales; Asteraceae. The record is from RNAcentral.